RNAcentral lists this ribosomal RNA (503 nucleotides) under uncultured bacterium. RNAcentral's name for it is "partial 16S ribosomal RNA". It matches the Rfam family "Bacterial small subunit ribosomal RNA", at positions 30 to 523 of the family's 1533-position model. The record is from RNAcentral.
AUUGAACGCUGGCGGCAGGCUUAACACAUGCAAGUCGAGCGGAGAUGAGGUGCUUGCACCUUAUCUUAGCGGCGGACGGGUGAGUAAUGCUUAGGAAUCUGCCUAUUAGUGGGGGACAACAUUCCGAAAGGAAUGCUAAUACCGCAUACGUCCUACGGGAGAAAGCAGGGGAUCACUUGUGACCUUGCGCUAAUAGAUGAGCCUAAGUUGGUGUAGCUAGUUGGUGGGGUAAAGGCCUACCAAGACGACGAUCUGUAGCGGGUCUGAGAGGAUGAUCCGCCACACUGGGACUGAGACACGGCCCAGACUCCUACGGGAGGCAGCAGUGGGGAACAUUGGACAAUGGGGGGAACCCUGAUCCAGCCAUGCCGCGUGUGUGAAGAAGGCCUUAUGGUUGUAAAGCACUUUAAGCGAGGAGGAGGCUCUUUUGGUUAAUACCCAAGAUGAGUGGACGUUACUCGCAGAAUAAGCACCGGCUAACUCUGUGCCAGCAGCCGCAGUAA